CGGAGGGUGCAAGCGUUAUCCGGAUUUACUGGGUUUAAAGGGUGUGUAGGCGGACUUUUAAGUCAGGGGUGAAAUCCCGAGGCUCAACCUCGGAACUGCCUUUGAUACUAUUGGUCUUGAAUCUCGUUGAGGUGGGCGGAACGGGUCAUGUAGCGGUGAAAUGCAUAGAUAUGACCCGGAACACCGAUUGCGAAGGCAGCCCGCUAAGCAAGCAUUGACGCUGAGGCACGAAAGCGUGGGGAUCAAACAGGAUUAGAUACCCUGGUAGUCCACGCCCUAAACGAUGAUUACUCGACGUUGGCGAUACACUGAUCAGCGUCCAAGCGAAAGCAUUAAGUAAUCCACCUGGGAAGUACGUUCGCAAGAAUG
Molecule: ribosomal RNA, 369 nt
Filed under: uncultured organism
Description: bacterial SSU rRNA
Rfam family: Bacterial small subunit ribosomal RNA
Source: RNAcentral